GUAGGUGGCAAGCGUUGUCCGGAAUUAUUGGGCGUAAAGCGCGCGCAGGCGGUUCUUUAAGUCUGAUGUGAAAGCCCACGGCUCAACCGUGGAGGGUCAUUGGAAACUGGAGGACUUGAGUACAGAAGAGGAAAGCGGAAUUCCACGUGUAGCGGUGAAAUGCGUAGAGAUGUGGAGGAACACCAGUGGCGAAGGCGGCUUUCUGGUCUGUAACUGACGCUGAGGCGCGAAAGCGUGGGGGAGCAAACAGGAUUAGAUACCCUGGUAGUCCACGCCGUAAACGAUGAGUGCUAAGUGUUAGGGGGUUUCCGCCCCUUAGUGCUGCAGCUAACGCAUUAAGCACUCCCGCCUGGGAGUACGGCCGCAAGGCUG
RNAcentral lists this ribosomal RNA (372 nucleotides) under uncultured organism. RNAcentral describes it as "partial 16S ribosomal RNA". It matches the Rfam family "Bacterial small subunit ribosomal RNA", at positions 527 to 896 of the family's 1533-position model. The record is from RNAcentral.